CACAAGCGGUGGAGCAUGUGGUUUAAUUCGACGCAACGCGAAGAACCUUACCAGGGCUUGACAUCCCCUGACCGCGUAUGAAAGUACGUUUUCACCCUCGGGUGACAGGGAGACAGGUGGUGCAUGGUUGUCGUCAGCUCGUGUCGUGAGAUGUUGGGUUAAGUCCCGCAACGAGCGCAACCCUUGUCCUUAGUUACCAGCACGUAAUGGUGGGCACUCUAAGGAGACUGCCGGUGACAAACCGGAGGAAGGUGGGGAUGACGUCAAGUCAUCAUGGCCCUUACGGCCAGGGCUACACACGUGCUACAAUGGUCGGUACAAAGGGUUGCCAAGCCGCGAGGUGGAGCUAAUCCCAUAAAACCGAUCGUAGUCCGGAUCGCAGUCUGCAACUCGACUGCGUGAAGUCGGAAUCGCUAGUAAUCGUGAAUCAGAAUGUCACGGUGAAUACGUUCCCGGGCCUU
This 461-nucleotide ribosomal RNA is filed under the name uncultured Pseudomonas sp. RNAcentral describes it as "bacterial SSU rRNA". It matches the Rfam family "Bacterial small subunit ribosomal RNA", at positions 924 to 1382 of the family's 1533-position model. Lineage: Bacteria; Pseudomonadati; Pseudomonadota; Gammaproteobacteria; Pseudomonadales; Pseudomonadaceae. The record is from RNAcentral.